Molecule: long non-coding RNA, 3239 nt
Filed under: Homo sapiens (human)
Lineage: Eukaryota; Metazoa; Chordata; Mammalia; Primates; Hominidae
Description: non-protein coding lnc-MTRR-12:1
Source: RNAcentral
CUAACAGUGUAAAAGCAUUCCUAUUUCUCCAUAGCCUUGUCAGCAUAUCUUGUUUCUUGACUUUUUAACAAUGGCCACACUGGGGAUUACAGUUUGAAAUGAGAUUUGAGUGGGGACACAAAUGCAAACCAUAUUGUAGGUUAUCUCUUCCUCUAGAAUACACAGAAAAGAACUGGAGUCUAGAAUCAUAGGUCCUUAAGAACAGGGACUCUUGUUCAUUCUUAUAUUUCAAGAACUUUAAAUAAAGAUUAGCUUUAUUUAAAUAAAUUAGUUUCAAGUUAAUGAAUUUUGUCUGUGUGUAUUUAAUAUGACACCUCCCAAAAAUAACAUCAUAAUUCAGCAUACGAGAGAAACCAAUGCUUUCAAGCAGUUGUCAUUAAAAUACACAAGGCUUAUAAGGCAGGUCUUCUGGAAAACUCUGUAUGAAAUUAAUUUGUGUUAAUAAAUUAGUUUUAUCUAGGAUUCUGUUCUUACAUUAUGUGCAUUUUUCUUCCAGAAUACAGCACUACUAAUUAUACCUCCUUUUUAUAUACUUGAAAAAAACUUUUUAUUUUAUUUUAUUUUAAAGUUCUGGGUUACAUAUCCAGAGUGUGCAGGUUUGUUGCAUAGGUAUUAUACAUGUGUCAUGGUGGUUUGCUGCACCUAUCAACUGGUCAUCUAGUUUUUAAGCCCUACAUGCACUAGGUAUUUGUCCUAAUGCUCUCACUCCCCUUGCCCAACACCCUGACAGGCCCCAUUGUGUGAUGUUCCCCUCCCUGUGUCCAUGUGUUCUCAUUGUUCAACUCCCACUUAUGAGUGAGAAAAUGUGGUGUUUGCUUUUCUGUUCCCAUGAUAGUUUGCUGAGAAUGAUGGCUUCCUGUUUCAUCCAUGUACCUGCAAAGGACAUGAACCCAUUCUUUUUUAUGACUGCAUAGUAUUCCAUUGUGUAUAUGUGCCACAUUUUCUUUAUCCAGUCUAUCAUUGAUGGGCAUUUGGGUUGGUUCCAAGUCUUUGUUCUUGUAAAUAGUUCUGCAAUAAACAUACGUGUGCCUUUAUCUUUAUCUUGUAAAACAAAAAUAACCCUUGUAUGCAACGAUCUAGAUUUGGUCUUUAGAAAUGUGGCCACAUUUUUAUUUCAUCAGACAGAAAUAAUUGAAAUACAAUGGAACAAAAUAACUUCAACCACAUAAAGUUCAUAAAAUUAAAUGGGCUCAUCCUGUUCACAUUCAGAGGAGAAUCACUUGUGGGAAUGGAAAAAGCAAAAAAGACAGAAUGAAAUUCAGUUCAAUAUCCACUGUAAGCUGGCACGUCCAACUUUAAUACUAAUAACUAAAUGUGUAACCCACUGAAGUAUGUUUAUACUUUUAGCAAAAAUAUUGCCAUUUCUUUUAAGGAAUGGCACAUCCAAUAGCAAAAGCACUGAAAAUUUUCUCCUUAUGGCCAGGAGAGUUUAUAGACAGGAGAGGCAGUCUUCCUAGUCUGGUGUUCAGGUGAAGGUGCUCACACUGCAGCCUGGAGCUGAGAGAUCAUUGUGAUCAGCUGUGAUGAUGAUGAGCAGUUGUUAUUGGUGGUGGUUGUGGUGCAGUGGUGGUGGUUGUUAUUGUUGUUGUUGGUAGGGUGAUUGUGGGCUGUUACUUUUCAUGGUGUUGAUGGUGUUAAGGAGUAUGAUGGUGAUGGUGGUGGUAGUUGUGGUGAAGGUGGUGGUGGUGUUAGCUCAGCCUUAUUCCUGGCAUUUCCUGUCUAUGUCUACUAGAUUGUUAUAGUUGGAAGGAACUGGAUAUCCCUUGGAUUAUCUAAGCUAAGGAAAGGGCUAGGAGAUAUGACGAGUGGCGCUAGUAUUGUUGGUAGGUAUUCAAAAAAUGGGAGGAAUCAAGAAACUUUGACUUCAUGCCUAGACAUCUUGGGAACCCACACAAAGUUGUACAAGCAUUUUCUCUGAAACACAGGCCAGUUGUUCAGACAGGCCAUGGAAAACUAAAGAAUGUGGUUAAGUAUGUCAGAAUCACCAAAAUAUCUUCCCAAAUUUUACCAGGAACUCCCCAUUCCACCUAGAAUGAAAUACACGUGCCUCUGCAUGCUCUCCUCGGUCCCACAUGGUCUGUGGUCAUUCCAUCAUCUCUCAGGCUCAUCUCAGUCCACUGGCUCUUUUCUCAUUCUGCUGUAGCCAUGUGGACUUUCUCAGUAUCAACCUCACUAAAGCCAAGCAAGGGUCUUGCAGUGGUGGAAGGCUAUUCCCCAAGUUGCCACUCUCCAGUCUCAUGCUAAGGUCCUUAUUUCACAGAUCUCCUCCUCAGUGAGUCCUCUAAUCACCACUCUUGUUAAAGUCUCCUUCCUCAGGCACUCACCUCUAUACAUCUUAUGUUCAGCACUGUUCUCAUCUAAAAUUAUCAAUGAGUUUUCUUUGUAAUUAACCAGAGCCAGUACAGUCUGCAAAUGCAGGUAUUUCACAACCUGAAUGAAAAAAAAUUGAAAAAAAAAGGCAAGCCCUACUAAUGAAAGAAUGUGACUGUAGCCAGCUCUUAAACAAUUGGCUAUAGCAUGACUGUGAAAAAAAAUGGACAUUUAGCUAACAGAGUAAGUAAAACUUGGUAUGUGCAUAGCAGCUGCUUUUUGUGAAAGUUGUGUGGCUAGACCAAAAAAGUGCAACGUGUAAAGUAAAAGAUGUGACUAGAUAUAAUAAUUAUGCAGUGAUUAAGAGAGAAAAACCAUAACAACUAUUGCAUCCAGUGAAAUCUAGAUUUAAUUUAAAAAACUGCAAAUGCAUAGUAAUAUAUUUUAUAGUUAUACAUUUAUAGCUACUAAAAGCAUUAUCAAGUGAUUUCCCACAGAAAACAACUUUGUUUCUAUGAGUCUGAAAUGCUGUCUGAACUCCCUUUUCCUCCAUUAAAAAAUGAAUCUUAUAAUUUUACUUUUAUAAUUUUAUUUUGCUAUAAUUUCACAUUUACAGAAAAAUUUCAAGAUUAGUACAAAGAACUUCUGUAUACCCUUUACCCAAGAUCAGAAAUUGUUUAUUUUGCCCCAUUUACUUUUUCUUUCUCCCUCUCAUAUGAAUAUACACAUAUGUUUAUAUGUAUUAUUUUGGAACCAUUUUAAAUCAAUUUCGAGACAUAGUGCCCCAUUACCUCUAAAUACUUCAUUGUGUAUUGUCUAACAUAACCACAAUGAUCAAAAUCAGAAAAUUUUGUUUUGAUAAAAUAUUGUAUGAUUUAUAACUCAUUGAAAUUUUUCAAGUGUCUUAGUAGUAGCAUUUAUAUAUAUAU